This 432-nucleotide ribosomal RNA is filed under the name uncultured bacterium. RNAcentral describes it as "partial 16S ribosomal RNA". It matches the Rfam family "Bacterial small subunit ribosomal RNA", at positions 29 to 507 of the family's 1533-position model. The record is from RNAcentral.
ACGAACGCUGGCGGCAUGCCUAACACAUGCAAGUCGAACGCGACCUUCGGGUCUAGUGGCGCACGGGUGCGUAACGCGUGGGAACCUGCCCUUAGGUUCGGAAUAACUCCCCGAAAGGGGUGCUAAUACCGGAUAAUGUCUUCGGACCAAAGAUUUAUCGCCUUUGGAUGGGCCCGCGUUGGAUUAGCUAGUUGGUAGGGUAAAAGCCUACCAAGGCGACGAUCCAUAGCUGGUCUGAGAGGAUGAUCAGCCACACUGGGACUGAGACACGGCCCAGACUCCUACGGGAGGCAGCAGUGGGGAAUAUUGGACAAUGGGCGAAAGCCUGAUCCAGCAAUGCCGCGUGAGUGAUGAAGGCCUUAGGGUUGUAAAGCUCUUUUACCCGGGAUGAUAAUGACAGUACCGGGAGGAUAAGCUCCGGCUAACUCCGUG